Transfer RNA from Ipomoea nil (Japanese morning glory), 72 nucleotides. It matches the Rfam family "tRNA". Rfam says of the family: Transfer RNA (tRNA) molecules are approximately 80 nucleotides in length. The record is from Rfam. Lineage: Eukaryota; Viridiplantae; Streptophyta; Magnoliopsida; Solanales; Convolvulaceae.
GUCGUUGUAGAAUAAUGGUGAGUAUCCCCGCCUGUUACGCGGGAGACCUGGGUUUCAUCCCCGGCAACGGUG